GAGUUUGAACCUGGCUCAGGAUGAACGCUGGCGGCGUGCUUAACACAUGCAAGUCGAACGGACUCGUAUUGAAACCUAGUGAUAUAUGAGUUAGUGGCGGACGGGUGUGUAACGCGUGGAUAACCUGCCGUAUACAGGGGGAUAACACUUAGAAAUAGGUGCUAAUACCGCAUAAGCGCACAGCUUUGCAUGAAGCAGUGUGAAAAGCAAAAAGUUAAAACUUUUGACGGUAUACGAUGGAUCCGCGUCUGAUUAGCCAGUUGGCGGGGUAACGGCCCACCAAAGCGACGAUCAGUAGCCGGCCUGAGAGGGCGGACGGCCACAUUGGGACUGAGACACGGCCCAGACUCCUACGGGAGGCAGCAGUGGGGAAUAUUGCACAAUGGGGGAAACCCUGAUGCAGCGACGCCGCGUGAGUGAAGAAGUAAUUCGUUACGUAAAGCUCUAUCAGCAGGGAAGAAAUACUGACCUUACGGUCAGCAGACGGUACCUGAGUAAGAAGCCCCGGCUAACUACGUGCCAGCAGCCGCGGUAAUACGUAGGGGGCAAGCGUUAUCCGGAUUUACUGGGUGUAAAGGGAGCGUAGACGGUACGCCAAGUCUGAAGUGAAAUGCCGCAGCUUAACUGCGGAACUGCUUUGGAAACUGGCGGGCUAGAGUGCGGGAGGGGUAAGCGGAAUUCCUAGUGUAGCGGUGAAAUGCGUAGAUAUUAGGAGGAACACCGGUGGCGAAGGCGG
This 736-nucleotide ribosomal RNA is filed under the name uncultured bacterium. RNAcentral describes it as "bacterial SSU rRNA". It matches the Rfam family "Bacterial small subunit ribosomal RNA", at positions 9 to 724 of the family's 1533-position model. The record is from RNAcentral.